Molecule: unclassified non-coding RNA, 404 nt
Filed under: Syncarpha lepidopodium
Lineage: Eukaryota; Viridiplantae; Streptophyta; Magnoliopsida; Asterales; Asteraceae
Description: partial external transcribed spacer
Source: RNAcentral
UCUCGGCUAAUGAGUGACAAUAUMCUCGACGCCCAAGGCAAUCUAAGUCAUCUUCCAAGUGGGGAGUUCGUUUUGGGUUUUCCAAAACGAACGAUCUGCGGCAACAUCGGUAAAGACGUGGCGUCGACGAAAGUCGUGCCACGUCUCGAUGUUGUUGACCCAUCUCCUGAUUUCGGAUAUCUUGUCUCAUUUGCCGAUGAUAUUCAUUAAAUGAUGUGGCUAUGGCAGGUUGCUUGGUGAUCUUAGUUCGACUUUGAUCUUAGUUUUAAGCUUAACCGGUUUUCUUCACKAGGCCCGCACUAUCGGUCUGAUUGUAUGGCAUGUUCUUGUUUGAUUGUUGCCUUACGAUUGUAUUGYUAGUGUGACCGAUGACAUGAUGUGACUUGUUAAUCUUUAAACUUUUC